AAAGGAAUAGACGGGGGCCCGCACAAGCGGUGGAGCAUGUGGUUUAAUUCGACGCAACGCGAAGAACCUUACCAAGGCUUGACAUCUACAGAAUCUCUAAGAAAUUAGGGAGUGCCCUUUUGGGAACUGUAAGACAGGUGGUGCAUGGUUGUCGUCAGCUCGUGUCGUGAGAUGUUGGGUUAAGUCCCGCAACGAGCGCAACCCCUAUAUUCAGUUGCCAGCACGUAAAGGUGGGAACUUUGGAUAGACUGCCGGUGACAAACCGGAGGAAGGUGGGGAUGACGUCAAAUCAUCAUGCCCCUUAUGUCUUGGGCUACACACGUGCUACAAUGGACGGUACAGACGGUUGCGAAGCCGUGAGGUGGAGCUAAUCCGAGAAAGCCGUUCUCAGUUCGGAUUGCAGGCUGCAACUCGCCUGCAUGAAGUCGGAAUCGCUAGUAAUCGCAGGUCAGCACACUGCGGUGAAUACGUUCCCGGGCCUUGUACACACCGCCCGU
This 497-nucleotide ribosomal RNA is filed under the name uncultured bacterium. RNAcentral describes it as "bacterial SSU rRNA". It matches the Rfam family "Bacterial small subunit ribosomal RNA", at positions 903 to 1397 of the family's 1533-position model. The record is from RNAcentral.